AGGACGAACGCUGGCGGCGUGCUUAACACAUGCAAGUCGAGCGAGGCCCUUCCUUCGGGAAGGUGCCCUAGCGGCGAACGGGUGAGUAACACGUGGGCAACCUGCCCCUAGCACUGGGAUAACUCCGGGAAACCGGGGCUAAUACCGGAUAUGACCUCCGAGGGCAUCCUUGGUGGUGUAAAGGAUUCUGGCUAGGGAUGGGCCCGCGGCCUAUCAGCUUGUUGGUGGGGUAACGGCCUACCAAGGCGACGACGGGUA
This 258-nucleotide ribosomal RNA is filed under the name uncultured bacterium. RNAcentral describes it as "partial small subunit ribosomal RNA". It matches the Rfam family "Bacterial small subunit ribosomal RNA", at positions 26 to 285 of the family's 1533-position model. The record is from RNAcentral.